UACGUAGGGACCAAGCGUUGUUCGGAUUUACUGGGCGUAAAGGGCGCGUAGGCGGCUUGACAAGUCACUUGUGAAAUCUCCGGGCUUAACUCGGAACGGUCAAGUGAAACUGUCGUGCUAGAGUGCAGAAGGGGCAAUCGGAAUUCUUGGUGUAGCGGUGAAAUGCGUAGAUAUCAAGAGGAACACCUGAGGUGAAGACGGGUUGCUGGGCUGACACUGACGCUGAGGCGCGAAAGCCAGGGGAGCAAACGGG
RNAcentral lists this ribosomal RNA (253 nucleotides) under uncultured bacterium. Its description in RNAcentral is "partial 16S ribosomal RNA". It matches the Rfam family "Bacterial small subunit ribosomal RNA", at positions 524 to 776 of the family's 1533-position model. The record is from RNAcentral.